This 104-nucleotide small nuclear RNA is filed under the name Castor canadensis (American beaver). Lineage: Eukaryota; Metazoa; Chordata; Mammalia; Rodentia; Castoridae. The record is from RNAcentral.
GGGCUCGCUUCAUCAACACAGAUGCUAAAAUUAGAAUGGUAUAGAGAUUGCAUAAACCCAUGCACAAGGAUGACAUGCAAGUUCAUGAAGGUUCCAUAUUUUUU